This 253-nucleotide ribosomal RNA is filed under the name uncultured bacterium. Its description in RNAcentral is "partial 16S ribosomal RNA". It matches the Rfam family "Bacterial small subunit ribosomal RNA", at positions 524 to 776 of the family's 1533-position model. The record is from RNAcentral.
UACGAAGGGGGCAAGCGUUGUUCGGAAUUAUUGGGCGUAAAGGGUGCGUAGGCGGUUUGACAAGUCUGAUGUGAAAUCUAUGGGCUCAACCCAUAGACUGCAUCGGAAACUGUCGGGCUUGAGUAUGGGAGAGGUGAGUGGAAUUUCCGGUGUAGCGGUGAAAUGCGUAGAUAUCGGAAGGAACACCUGUGGCGAAAGCGGCUCACUGGACCAUUACUGACGCUGAGGAGCGAAAGCCAGGGGAGCAAACGGG